RNAcentral lists this ribosomal RNA (681 nucleotides) under uncultured Clostridium sp. RNAcentral describes it as "bacterial SSU rRNA". It matches the Rfam family "Bacterial small subunit ribosomal RNA", at positions 31 to 740 of the family's 1533-position model. Lineage: Bacteria; Bacillati; Bacillota; Clostridia; Eubacteriales; Clostridiaceae. The record is from RNAcentral.
GAACGCUGGCGGCGUGCCUAACACAUGCAAGUCGAGCGAUCUUCUUCGGAAGGGAGCGGCGGACGGGUGAGUAACGCGUGGGUAACCUGCCCUGUACACACGGAUAACAUACCGAAAGGUAUGCUAAUACGGGAUAACAUAAGAAAGUCGCAUGGAUUUCUUAUCAAAGCUUUUGCGGUACAGGAUGGACCCGCGUCUGAUUAGCUAGUUGGUAAGGUAACGGCUUACCAAGGCGACGAUCAGUAGCCGACCUGAGAGGGUGAUCGGCCACAUUGGAACUGAGACACGGUCCAAACUCCUACGGGAGGCAGCAGUGGGGAAUAUUGCACAAUGGGCGAAAGCCUGAUGCAGCAACGCCGCGUGAGCGAUGAAGGCCUUCGGGUCGUAAAGCUCUGUCCUCAAGGAAGAUAAUGACGGUACUUGAGGAGGAAGCCCCGGCUAACUACGUGCCAGCAGCCGCGGUAAUACGUAGGGGGCUAGCGUUAUCCGGAAUUACUGGGCGUAAAGGGUGCGUAGGCGGUCUUUCAAGUCAGAAGUGAAAGGCUACGGCUCAACCGUAGUAAGCUUUUGAAACUGUAAGACUUGAGUGCAGGAGAGGAGAGUGGAAUUCCUAGUGUAGCGGUGAAAUGCGUAGAUAUUAGGAGGAACACCAGUUGCGAAGGCGGCUCUCUGGACUGUAAC